This 539-nucleotide long non-coding RNA is filed under the name Homo sapiens (human). Its description in RNAcentral is "HSALNT0341371". Lineage: Eukaryota; Metazoa; Chordata; Mammalia; Primates; Hominidae. The record is from RNAcentral.
CCUUAUGCCAGGAACUGUGCGGGAUACAAAAUGUAAGAGAAGGCUGGAAUAGAGCAUCUCCUGGGGAAAUGAGAGCCAGAGAUACAGCGGUGCCCCAUGGAGACAGCCAGCUGGUGUUUGGUAGUUCCUUGUGGAAAGGCUGUACUUUGAACCACCUAAGCUAAAGAUUCUUUUGAGAACAAGGGCUAGCCUGUGGUUUCAUGGCCUUUCUUCCAUUUGGGGUUCUUGCCAAGUGGAAUUUAAAUGACCUCUUAUCAAGAUGGAUAAACCCAAGUUUCCCAGUGCUGGAAUACAGAAAAUGGAUGGACAAGAUGUCUUUUUGUCACUUCCAGCUGGAUCUACCAUGAAAGACGUCAGAGUCCAGGAAGAGAGACUGACUGGGCAACAUGUUAUUCAGAAUUAGAGAAGAUGAUGUGGUGAUGGAAGAAGAGGUCAGAGAGGGAGAUUUGAAGAUGUUGCAGUUCUGGCCUUCAAGAUGGAGUCAGGGGCUAUCUUCAAGAGAGAAGAUCUUGAUCUGUGGCCCAGGCUGCAGUACAGUG